RNAcentral lists this non-coding RNA (89 nucleotides) under Hydrogenophaga sp. IBVHS1. The record is from RNAcentral. Lineage: Bacteria; Pseudomonadati; Pseudomonadota; Betaproteobacteria; Burkholderiales; Comamonadaceae.
UUUUUUGGCAGCCUGAGCGGGAGGUCGCGAGACCUGCCGGUUCUUCGCAAGGGGUCCCCGGUUCUCAACCCGUUCGGGCUGCCGCCACU